Molecule: long non-coding RNA, 601 nt
Filed under: Ananas comosus (pineapple)
Lineage: Eukaryota; Viridiplantae; Streptophyta; Magnoliopsida; Poales; Bromeliaceae
Description: long non-coding RNA (ACOM_LNC015555)
Source: RNAcentral
UUUUCUCAAAUGCGUCAUAAAUUAAAAUAUCCGUUAUCUCCUAUUUACGUGUUUUUCAAAUAUUUUCUUUCUCACACAUAAUACUUGCGCCAAUCACGUAAAAUAUUACUAAAAAGAUUUAAUACCCACCUAAGCAAAACUAAUUAAAUUGUUAAUUAAAUGUAAUUUUAUAUUUUAAAAUUUUUUUAGUAAAGUAUUCAAAAGUAAUAUCCGCCAAAAUAUCUUAUGCAUUUCUCAAAUAUAGAACAUAUCUUAAUGCACUCACAUAUAAUAUCUACAUAUCUUUGCAUAUAAUAUCUACACUAUCCCACAUUUAUCUCAUCAUAUAAUAUAUCUUUAUCUCAUCAUAUAAUAUUUAUUCACACACAGAAUAUAAUUUUUUGGAGACAUAUUUUUUUAGUAAUAUCUUUUUUAUUUCAUCUAUAUUUUUCUCAAAUAUUAUUUUUAGUAAUAUUCUUUCUCAUAUGUCCCUAUCGCUAGCACCAGUAUAUCGUAGCAUAUUGUUAUCGUCGACAUCAGCACAUUGUCACUUUUGCCACCUUCGUCAUAGUUAGAAAGGAAUUUUGAUCUCACCUGAAAUUUUUUUUUUUAUGUGCAUUUA